GACGAACGCUGGCGGCGUGCUUAAUACAUGCAAGUCGAACGGACAGGCCCUGCUCUUGUGGGGUGCUCGAGUGGCGAACGGGUGAGUAACACGUGAGUAACAUGUCCCUGACUUUGGGAUAACUUCAGGAAACUGGGGCUAAUAUCGGAUAGGAGCUCCUGAUGCAUGGUGGGGGUUGGAAAGAUUCGGCGGUUGGGGAUGGACUAGCAGCUUAUCAGCUUGUUGGUGGGGUAGUGGCUUACAAAGGUUUUGACGGGUAGCCGGCCUGAGAGGGUGACCGGCCACAUGAGUACUGAGAUACGGCGCAGACUCGUACGGUAGGCAGCAGUGGGAAGUAUUGCACAAUAAGCGGAAGCCAGAUACGGCGGCGCCGCGUGCGUAAUGACGUCCUUCGAGUUGUGAACCGCUUUGUCCUUUAACAAAGCGGUAGUGACGGUAAUUGGUAAGAAAGCAACGGCUAACUACGUG
Molecule: ribosomal RNA, 468 nt
Filed under: uncultured bacterium
Lineage: Bacteria
Description: partial 16S ribosomal RNA
Rfam family: Bacterial small subunit ribosomal RNA
Source: RNAcentral